This 340-nucleotide ribosomal RNA is filed under the name uncultured Nitrospirota bacterium. RNAcentral describes it as "bacterial SSU rRNA". It matches the Rfam family "Bacterial small subunit ribosomal RNA", at positions 29 to 351 of the family's 1533-position model. The record is from RNAcentral. Lineage: Bacteria; Pseudomonadati; Nitrospirota.
AGCGAACGCUGGCGGCGUACUUAACACAUGCAAGUCGAACGGGGAUCAUCGGUGUAGCAAUACAUCGGCGGUCCUAGUGGCGCACGGGUGAGUAACACGUGGGUAACCUGUCCUUGAGUUCGGGAUACCCUCUCGAAAGGGAGGCUAAUACCGGAUACGUUCCCCGGAUUGCGAAAUCUAGGGAGGAAAGGCGGCGCAAGCUGCCGCUCUUGGAGGGGCUCGUGGCCUAUCAGCUAGUUGGUGAGGUAAUGGCUCACCAAGGCUAUGACGGGUAGCUGGUCUGAGAGGACGACCAGCCACACGGGAACUGAGACACGGUCCCGACACCUACGGGUGGCUG